CACCGUACCCCUUACGCCGGACCCUUGUGUCAGGGCGAAGAGAGGUGGGAGAAGGUGGAGACCCAUAAAAUCAGUAUGUUAGGGGAUAUUUCUACCCAAAACUCAUUUAUUUUUUCACCGCAGCCUCCCCUUACCCGCCUGUUUACCCGCGGUCACGUUCAAUCCCGCCCCCAUCAAGCAAGCUUUCCCCGUGAAAUUUGGUCGCCGAUCUGAUCCCCUUCGCCGCCAAUCCACAUCGCACCGCCGGCCGCCCUCCCCAUCCACGGACCAUUCCUUGGCAAAGCGUGAGCAUGCGGAGCCACUAGCGCGCGCUGAAGAGAAGCAACAGAGGUGUCGUGUGCGAGCGGGCUGGUCCUCCCUCUCUUUGUCCUGCUCUCCUUCCCAUCCAAAUCGCCUCGAUGGUAGCUGCAGUCACGGCCGGCUUCACCAACUUUCAUGGGCAGAGAUCGCCGCUCCGGUGAACGCGGCGGCAUCCUCAAGGAGAGCUCGUGCAGCGCUCACCUCUCACACCACAGAUCAGUGGACCAGGCAGCACCUCCCAUCACCAUCCGCAUUGCGAGACCUGGUGGUAAUAGUAGCAACCAUGGGCCACAUGCAGAGCAGUGCCGCAGGCCUCGCUGGUCAAUGGCGUGGUGUGUUCGGAGGAGGGUGGCCUAGGCGGCAGCUUACUCGACUGCGGUGUCAUCUCGGUGGAGAGACAGGACUCGGCUUCAGGGUCAGAACGAGGAGCGACGGCUGCCGGCAUGAUUUGCUUUUGGAUGGCGAGGGCGGCUUGGGCAGCUACGAGGCUUGCCCUGCUGCUCAGACGUAGGAAUAGAAGCCUGCUUCUUUGUGCAUUCGGGAACCACCAGAAUAGCCUUGAUAUGCCUCGGGUGAAGCAAUGUUUGUCCUCCUCUUCAUUGGAAUGACUUUUGGUGGAGACGCCAAUCCGUGGGUAAGUUGCAGCUAGCUGUCUUCAGUCCAUUCUAUCCCUGCCGCCGCCUGCACCAUGGAUCUAUGCCGCAGGCAUGCUCACGACAUGCUUGAUGAAAUGCCGACAACGAUCAUCUUACACCCCGAUGAUAAUUUUUGCCAUCCAACAGGAUUUUGUUUGUACUGUUUUGGCCACACAAUUAAAGCAUCAUAGCUCAAUCUAGCUUGUCGUUAAUCUGCAAGAAGAAACCGGAAGCUAAGGACCUCUUGACACUACAGCAAGAUCAUCCCAUCCAUGUGCCCCUGGUUUAGAGGCUGGGAGAAUAUAUGCAAUAACUGUGCACAUAGUUAAGUUUAAUUCCAGUAAUGCUUUUAGCAGUUCCACUUUACUGGUUUACGGAUUGUACUCCAUGGGUAUAUAUUCAUUGGCCCUGUUGGCUUUCAUGUACAAUUGAGAUCGAAACAAAGUUCAGCUGAUAUUGAUUAUUCCCAAGUAAUAUAAAAGUAGCAUGCAGAACUUCUCACACUACAAAAUGGGCAAAUGCUGCCUUUAUCACUUCAUCUUGAAGCUCCACUCAAUUUCUGAAGAAAGUAGAUUCUGGUCUUGCAAUGGAGUUUAUGCAUGUCCAGGAUGUACAUUUACUUUUGAUCCUGAAAAGUUUCUUUACGUGCAGUAUGAAGGGGAUUGCCAGGCUCGAUUUGGCUCGUCCCUCCAUGGAUUUGAGAUUUUAAGUACUCAAAUGGAUUCGCAAGACCAAAACAUCAAUGGAGCUUUGAUUGCAAGUGAUUGAGUUGAGAUUCAAUACGUUGGAUGAUGAAUUUCACCCCAAGAGUGAGCGUCAGGUUGGGGAUUUCGACAAGCUCGACAUUGCUACAAGCUUUUGCAAAAAGAUCCUCACAAAAACUGAUGAUUAAUUUUUGUAUUUUCUGUCUUGAUGGUUCUACAAAAAAAACCUCAAAAAUUGAGAGAAUUUACAAAAAUUUAAAUAUUUGGAUCA
Molecule: long non-coding RNA, 1910 nt
Organism: Panicum virgatum (switchgrass)
Lineage: Eukaryota; Viridiplantae; Streptophyta; Magnoliopsida; Poales; Poaceae
Exons: 2
Source: RefSeq, a predicted model, not a curated record